AGUGAACGCUGGCGGUAGGCCUAACACAUGCAAGUCGAACGGCAGCACAGGAGAGCUUGCUCUCUGGGUGGCGAGUGGCGGACGGGUGAGGAAUACAUCGGAAUCUACUCUGUCGUGGGGGAUAACGUAGGGAAACUUACGCUAAUACCGCAUACGACCUACGGGUGAAAGCAGGGGACCUUCGGGCCUUGCGCGAUUGAAUGAGCCGAUGUCGGAUUAGCUAGUUGGCGGGGUAAAGGCCCACCAAGGCGACGAUCCGUAGCUGGUCUGAGAGGAUGAUCGGGCACACUGGAACUGGGACACGGUCCAGACUCCUACGGGAGGCAGCAGUGGGGAAUAUUGGACAAUGGGCGCAAGCCUGAUCCAGCCAUACCGCGUGGGUGAAGAAGGCCUUCGGGUUGUAAAGCCCUUUUGUUGGGAAAGAAAUCCAGCUGGCUAAUACCCGGUUGGGAUGACGGUACCCAAAGAAUAAGCACCGGCUAACUUCGUGCCAGCCGCCGCAGUAA
This 506-nucleotide ribosomal RNA is filed under the name uncultured bacterium. Its description in RNAcentral is "partial 16S ribosomal RNA". It matches the Rfam family "Bacterial small subunit ribosomal RNA", at positions 29 to 523 of the family's 1533-position model. The record is from RNAcentral.